Heterocephalus glaber (naked mole-rat) is the source of this 306-nucleotide non-coding RNA. NCBI's taxonomy places the organism in Eukaryota, Metazoa, Chordata, Mammalia, Rodentia, Bathyergidae. The record is from RefSeq and is a predicted model, not a curated record.
GGGAAAACAUGCUCUCCGGCUCAAAGCUCAGCCCCAGGGCUUCUUAGCGCCUCAGUUUCCAGCGUUACACAGCACAGCCGCAGAAUUCCAUGCUGUUGCCUUUCUUGCCUCAUCGGUUUCUACUAUUAAUACUAUUCUCAAUCUUACAUCAACUUUGACCUUCUCUGGCCCACAUUAUGGAUGGAUGGCUGUUUUAUCUUCGCAGCCCGAGUGCAAGAAGAAGGCAACUAAAUCUGAUUGUCUUCAAAGGUUUUAGGUUGAAGCUCUGGAAGAAUAAAAUCACUCCAAAAGCUGAGAUUACCAAAG